GACGAACCGAGCGAACGUUGUUCGGAAUCACUGGGCUUAAAGGGCGCGUAGGCGGACUCGCCAGUCUGUGGUGAAAGCCCCCGGCUUAACCGGGGAAGUGCCAUGGAUACUGCGAGUCUGGAGGAGGGUAGGGGCGUCUGGAACGCUGGGUGGAGCGGUGAAAUGCGUUGAUAUCCAGCGGAACUCCGGUGGCGAAGGCGAGGCGCUGGACCCUUUCUGACGCUGAGGCGCGAAAGCCAGGGGAGCAAACGGG
RNAcentral lists this ribosomal RNA (253 nucleotides) under uncultured bacterium. RNAcentral's name for it is "partial 16S ribosomal RNA". It matches the Rfam family "Bacterial small subunit ribosomal RNA", at positions 524 to 776 of the family's 1533-position model. The record is from RNAcentral.